ACUCCUACGGGAGGCAGCAGUGGGGAAUAUUGCACAAUGGGGGAAACCCUGAUGCAGCCAUGCCGCGUGUGUGAAGAAGGCCUUCGGGUUGUAAAGCACUUUCAGUAGGGAGGAAGGUAGUGUAGUUAACACCUGCAUUAUUUGACGUUACCUACAGAAGAAGCACCGGCUAACUCCGUGCCAGCAGCCGCGGUAAUACGGAGGGUGCGAGCGUUAAUCGGAAUUACUGGGCGUAAAGCGCAUGCAGGCGGCCUGUUAAGUCAGAUGUGAAAGCCCGGGGCUUAACCUCGGAAUUGCAUUUGAAACUGGCAGGCUAGAGUCUUGUAGAGGGGGGUAGAAUUUCAGGUGUAGCGGUGAAAUGCGUAGAGAUCUGAAGGAAUACCAGUGGCGAAGGCGGCCCCCUGGACAAGACUGACGCUCAGAUGCGAAAGCGUGGGGAGCAAACAGGAUUAGAUACCCUGGUAGGAUAGCG
Molecule: ribosomal RNA, 472 nt
Filed under: uncultured bacterium
Lineage: Bacteria
Description: bacterial SSU rRNA
Rfam family: Bacterial small subunit ribosomal RNA
Source: RNAcentral